Aedes albopictus (Asian tiger mosquito) is the source of this 777-nucleotide long non-coding RNA. RefSeq lists it as uncharacterized. NCBI's taxonomy places the organism in Eukaryota, Metazoa, Arthropoda, Insecta, Diptera, Culicidae. The record is from RefSeq and is a predicted model, not a curated record. The transcript is spliced from 3 exons.
UAGAAGUGAACGACAUCGUACUAGUCGUCGACCCAGAUCUUCCCAGAAAUUGCUGGCCUAAAGGUAGGGUGAUUUCUGUCAAUCGUGCAAAGGACGGACAAGUGAGAUCAGCCACGGUACAAACUGUGACUGGAAUAUACGAGCGACCCGCAACGAAGAUCGCCGUACUGGAUGUUCGCCGCGAAGAAUUGGUAAACCAGGACCCUGGCGUACCUGGGGGGGAGUGUUGCGACCCCUCGGUCGACGCGCCUUAUUAGGACGAUCUUCAUUGAGGUACCAUGAUCCCGACAGAACUCGAUAGAUGUAGGUAGAACACUCAAUAUGACAGAGCAACUUGUCAAAUGCUGGGACGUCAAACAUGAGAUGGUCAGGAGAAUGAUUAGGCAAAAUUGCGGUGUGGUUCUCGAAUUGUUAUUAUAGAAUUUUUGCAGUUACUCGUUAUAGUUAUAAUUGUUUUGCAAGUAAUUAGUGAAACGAGAUAAGCUGUACUAGACUUCGGCGUAUUCGCUAACCGUAACUGAACUGCGUUGGAGAUCGUUUAUAGAAACAUAUUAUCUAGAAACAGAUUUGCCGCUAGAAGUUUGGAACCAUACAUCAUAAAGGGACGAAGAUAGGAGGAAUUAGAGCACGAAAGAACUAAACGUAAGUUGAGUGUGGCCCCAAUUGAAUUGUGACUAAUGAGGUUGAAUUUCAGGAAUUUUUUAAUGUGCCUAAUAAAUAUUAAGAAAUCGGAAUCUCGUGCCCUCCUUUCACUACUCUUGAUAGUUGACCGGUGAG